GUCCACGCUGUAAACGAUGAGUGCUAGUUGUCGGCAGGCAUGCCUGUCGGUGACGCAGCUAACGCAUUAAGCACUCCGCCUGGGGAGUACGGUCGCAAGAAUUAAAACUCAAAGGAAUUGGACGGGGGCCCGCACAAGCGGUGGAGCAUGUGGUUUAAUUCGAAGCAACGCGCAGAACCUUACCACCUUUUGACAUGCCCGGACCGCCAGAGAGAUCUGGUUUUCCCUUCGGGGACUGGGACACAGGUGCUGCAUGGCUGUCGU
Molecule: ribosomal RNA, 264 nt
Filed under: uncultured bacterium
Lineage: Bacteria
Description: partial 16S ribosomal RNA
Rfam family: Bacterial small subunit ribosomal RNA
Source: RNAcentral